AUAAGCGCAUAGAUGUCCCAACGGAGUCACGGUAGCACUUGUCUAAAUGCGACCCGUGACAUUCUCCCCCACUGAUAAUGUCGACGUCCUCGUCGACGUGCCCCACUGCACUGCCGACUUUGGAAUCACGAUAGCACUCACUUAUGUGCAAUCCGUGACAUUCUCCCCCACUGAUAAUGGCGACGUCCUCGUCGACUUGCCCACUGCAUUGCUGCAUAACAACACCAUAUAGGAUUAUCCUCUUCUCUUCGCUCCAAGGACCACAAAGCACCACUGCCUUAACCCUUUUCAACUUUCUCUUUCAAAGUUGUACUCCUUUCCCUAUUCUUGGGCCGAGACCUCUGUCUCUUGUCGCACUCAACCUUUGAACAAUCACAUAGCUCGUUGGUCAAGUACUUCCACAUUUUCCACAUUCAAAGAGAUGCACCCCACUUGGGUGUGACUCGUAAGCCAACCGUGUGUCCUCCACGGCACCUCCAUUCCGUGCAUCUGCACUGCCAUACCUUCAUGGCAUUCAAGGUUCUCCCCUACUUAUCUCAUCAGCACCCAUCACCUCAGGGUGCCUCCAUAGCAAAGUUCCACAACACUUAGGCCAUCACAAUUCACCAAGGUUAAACAUCAUCCCUACUACGAGUAGAACCACCUGACUACCAACGCCCCAAACUCGGACUCGGCAGAACCACUUCUAUAGCAUCCACACGGGAACAAGCAAGAUGUCAACACCCAAGUUACUCCAACUUUGUCUGCCAUCAAGUGCGGACAUACUCCAUGUCCUUAGCAACCAUGCCCUCAAGUAAGAUUCCGGGAUCCCCCUUUUUUGGAACACUCCAUCGUUCCGGAUAUCAAUUAGCAAACUUAUGUCAAACAUUGUGCCUCACCCACCCGUUCUCAACAAUUGUAAAAGCAACCACUUAAGUGACUCCCUCAUUAAAGCCUAG
RNAcentral lists this long non-coding RNA (938 nucleotides) under Prunus persica (peach). RNAcentral describes it as "long non-coding RNA (PPER_LNC004807)". Lineage: Eukaryota; Viridiplantae; Streptophyta; Magnoliopsida; Rosales; Rosaceae. The record is from RNAcentral.